Molecule: ribosomal RNA, 492 nt
Filed under: uncultured bacterium
Lineage: Bacteria
Description: partial 16S ribosomal RNA
Rfam family: Bacterial small subunit ribosomal RNA
Source: RNAcentral
AGUGAACGCUGGCGGUAGGCCUAACACAUGCAAGUCGAACGGCAGCACCGUAAGAGCUUGCUCUUACGGGUGGCGAGUGGCGGACGGGUGAGGAAUACAUCGGACUCUACUUUUUCGUGGGGGAUAACGUAGGGAAACUUACGCUAAUACCGCAUACGACCUACGGGUGAAAGCAGGGGAUCUUCGGACCUUGCGCGAUUGAAUGAGCCGAUGUCGGAUUAGCUCGUUGGCGGGGUAAAGGCCCACCAAGGCGACGAUCCGUAGCUGGUCUAAGAGGAUGGUCAGCCACACGGGAACUGAGACACGGUCCAGACUCCUACGGUAGGCAGCAGUGGGGAAUAUUGGACAAUGGGCGCAAGCCUGAUCCAGCCAUACCGCGUGGGUGAAGAAGGCCUUCGGGUUGUAAAGCCCUUUUGUUGGGAAAGAAAAGCAGCAGUUUAAUACCCCGCUGUUCUGACGGUACCCAAAGAAUAAGCACCGGCUAACUUCGUG